GCCUACGGGAGGCAGCAGUGAGGAAUAUUGGUCAAUGGGAGAGAUCCUGAACCAGCCAAGCCGCGUGAGGGAAGACGGCCCUAUGGGUUGUAAACCUCUUUUGUCGGAGAACAAAACCCGGGACGUGUCCCGGACUGCGUGUAUCCGAAGAAAAAGCAUCGGCUAACUCCGUGCCAGCAGCCGCGGUAAUACGGAGGAUGCGAGCGUUAUCCGGAUUUAUUGGGUUUAAAGGGUGCGUAGGCGGUCUGUUAAGUCAGCGGUAAAAUUGCGGGGCUCAACCCCGUCAAGCCGUUGAAACUGGCAGA
Molecule: ribosomal RNA, 305 nt
Filed under: uncultured bacterium
Lineage: Bacteria
Description: bacterial SSU rRNA
Rfam family: Bacterial small subunit ribosomal RNA
Source: RNAcentral